AGGACGAACGCUGGCGGCGUGCCUAACACAUGCAAGUCGAACGCGCUCCAUUCGGUAGCAAUACUGAUGAAGAGCGAGUGGCGAACGGGUGAGUAACACAUGAGCAACCUGCCCCGAAGACCGGGACAACACCGGGAAACCGGUGCUAAUACCGGAUAUCCCUAUCGGACCGCAUGAUCUGAUAAGGAAAUGGAUUCCGCUUCGGGAGGGGCUCGUGGCCUAUCAGCUAGUUGGUGAGGUAACGGCUCACCAAGGCAUCGACGGGUAGCUGGUCUGAGAGGACGAUCAGCCACACUGGGACUGAGACACGGCCCAGACUCCUACGGGAGGCAGCAGUGGGGAAUCUUGCGCAAUGGGCGAAAGCCUGACGCAGCAACGCCGCGUGGAGGACGAAGGCUUUCUGAGUUGUAAACUCCUUUCAGCAGGGACGAUAGUGACGGUACCUGCAGAAGAAGCACCGGCCAACUACGUGCCAGCAGCCGA
RNAcentral lists this ribosomal RNA (483 nucleotides) under uncultured bacterium. Its description in RNAcentral is "SSU rRNA". It matches the Rfam family "Bacterial small subunit ribosomal RNA", at positions 26 to 518 of the family's 1533-position model. The record is from RNAcentral.